GACAGAGGUCCCGAGCGUUAGGCGGAAUCACUGGGCUUAAAGCGUGUGUAGGCGGAUCGUUAAGUGCCUUGUGAAAUCCCAUGGCUUAACCAUGGAACUGCUUGGCAUACCGGCGAUCUUGAGCCACUUAGGGGCAACCGGAACAAAUGGUGGAGCGGUGAAAUGCGUAGAUAUCAGGAGGAACACCAGCGGCGAAGGCGGCGCUCUGGGCCGGAACUGACGCUGAGGAGCGAAAGCGUGGGUAGCAAACAGG
RNAcentral lists this ribosomal RNA (253 nucleotides) under uncultured bacterium. Its description in RNAcentral is "partial 16S ribosomal RNA". It matches the Rfam family "Bacterial small subunit ribosomal RNA", at positions 524 to 776 of the family's 1533-position model. The record is from RNAcentral.